AAAUAGGUAAGCUAAAAAAGCUAUUGGGUUCAUACCCCACUUAUAGAGGUUUACCCUUUUCUAUUUA
This 67-nucleotide transfer RNA is filed under the name Hemisodorcus arrowi. RNAcentral describes it as "tRNA-Met". The record is from RNAcentral. RNAcentral also lists the same sequence under 1 other name. Lineage: Eukaryota; Metazoa; Arthropoda; Insecta; Coleoptera; Lucanidae.